Mobula hypostoma (lesser devil ray) is the source of this 1556-nucleotide long non-coding RNA. RefSeq lists it as uncharacterized. Lineage: Eukaryota; Metazoa; Chordata; Chondrichthyes; Myliobatiformes; Myliobatidae. The record is from RefSeq and is a predicted model, not a curated record. The transcript is spliced from 3 exons.
UCCAAUGCGCAACGUUGGAGCUCAUUGAUAAGGCCAUUCAUCCACCAUCGACCUCCUCCAAUCAUCACUAACCUUCGGACCCUCGCUCCAAGUUCACUCCGCCCAGCAGUCUACCAACUCUCUCCAUUUCCGUCUUCUCUCCUCAUCUCUCCCCGGGAAAAGACCGCAAAAUCCCUGCUCCCAGACCCACACGAAAGAACAACAUCCGUCUCAGUGGAUAGCCCUCAUUCCAAAGCCCCGUUAUCUCUAGUCAUGACCCAAACAUUGCUGCUACAGAGAAACCAUUACAUUAGCAGUGAAACCUUACAGUGUGUUACAUGUGUUUCUGGUACUCUUCAAGCCCAUGAUCUGCAGUUUGAUGGUGUGUUUUUGGGCCAAAUGUGUGAUCUGGUGGUUUGCUGUCUUUGAGGUGAGCAGCCUCCAUGGAUGCCAGCCCACGUUUGACUCUACCUCUCGCCGAUCUAGCUGAUUAAAGCAUCGAGGAAGAUCAAAAACAUCGAGGCAAGUGCGGAAGCUUCAUAUGGCAAGGAGUGGAAGUCUACGUACGAGAGGACAAAGGACUUGUUGAUCCUGCGGUGCUGGGCAGUCAGAUCUGGAGCUGGCAGAAGGUCAAUAAAAUGCUGAGGGAGACACUGUUUCGAUUACUUUGGAUCACCGAACCAGGACUGAUUCCAUGGUCCUUCCUUGUUUGUGGCCGUCUGUGGAGAAGACGAAUCUCAGGGUUGUAUACUGCAUACAUACUUCGAUAAUAAAUGUACUUUGAAUCUUUGAAAUAAAUUCAGGAACAGUAAAUUAACAACACUUAAAUCAUGGAGAAACAUUGAAUGAAACAUAGCAAUACAUAGGCUUAAGAUUCACAUUGAAAGUAAGGGGAUCUCAAAUCUUUCACCAGGUUUGACUGACACAGAAUCUACGUGAUGGGUCCUGUCUCCGGAAACCACAAGUGGAACAGAGAGGCAUGUUUGUCCCUUUCUCAGUCCAGGACCUGGGAACACUGGUUUCCAGUGAUCUCACUUUAAGGACCCUUUAUCUUGUUAUUUCAUGCUCGUUACUUAUUGCCGUUUAUUUAUAUUUGCAUUUGCACAGUCUGUUGUCUUCUAUACUCUUGCUCUUUCACUGAUCCUGUCUACAGUUACUAUUCUAUAGAUUUGCUCAGUUUGCCCACAGGAAAAAGAAUCAGGGUUGUAUGAGGUGACAUGUAUGUAACUCUAUAAUAAAAUCUACUUUGAACUUUACGAUACAUCACCUUAAAUACCUUUGGAUUUUAUAAAAUCGCAACUACAAAUACCACCAAAUUCAUAGCAAAUCACCAAAAAUCAUAGCACAUUACACUCAAGAUUAUGAAACUAAUGGUUCAAAGAUGAAGAUUCCACCUCUCUGCCAUCUUAACUGUAACCAACCCUAUUGACUUUUCUUUUUUAGCGUGACUUAUUUUAUAUAUAUAUUUCUUAUUGUAAUUUAUGGUAUAUUUUAUGUAUUGCACCGUACUGCUGCCACAAAACAAAUUUCACAGCACAUGUCGGUGAUAAUAAGCCUGUUUCUGCUGACAUCCAUUU